Phyllostomus discolor (pale spear-nosed bat) is the source of this 239-nucleotide long non-coding RNA. RefSeq lists it as uncharacterized. The record is from RefSeq and is a predicted model, not a curated record. The transcript is spliced from 2 exons. NCBI's taxonomy places the organism in Eukaryota, Metazoa, Chordata, Mammalia, Chiroptera, Phyllostomidae.
UUCAGCUUUUUGAAGGCUUCAACUCCCUCAAUGAUUAGACUAGAGGGUAAGCAAAAACAGUCUUCCAGAAGCCCACAUUCCUCAUUUAAAAGCUUUGCAUUAAAUGGGAGGGAGUUUUGGAGAAAGCCCUUUUUUGGACUAUGGCUGAGUUACACAAAGCUCUAAGAAAAUGUAGUUCUCUAGUUUCCUACAGAGAACCUGGGUAUUCUAACUAUAGGCUUUCGUACAGAGACAGACAA